CCUCCUCGAUCUGCUGCGGCGCGAUGAAAUGGAUAUGCGCGUCGAUGCCGCCGGCGGUCAGUAUCUUUCCCUCGCCAGCGAUAAUCUCCGUCCCGGGGCCGAUGAUGAUCGUGACGCCCGGCUGAAUAUCGGGAUUGCCGCCCUUGCCGAUCGCGGCGAUGCGGCCGUCCUUCAAUCCGACGUCGGCUUUCACCACCCCUGUAUGAUCGAGAAUCACGACAUUGGUGAUGAGCGUGUCGACGGCGCCUUCGGCGCGCGAGCGUUGACUUUGCCCCAUCCCGUCGCGAAUG
This 290-nucleotide small RNA is filed under the name Methylocella tundrae. RNAcentral describes it as "5_ureB_sRNA". It matches the Rfam family "5' ureB small RNA". The record is from RNAcentral. Lineage: Bacteria; Pseudomonadati; Pseudomonadota; Alphaproteobacteria; Hyphomicrobiales; Beijerinckiaceae.